Molecule: unclassified non-coding RNA, 329 nt
Filed under: soil metagenome
Description: partial contains 5.8S ribosomal RNA, internal transcribed spacer 2, and large subunit ribosomal RNA
Rfam family: 5.8S ribosomal RNA (bases 1-120)
Source: RNAcentral
GAUGAAGAACGUAGCGAAUUGCGAUAAGUAAUGUGAAUUGCAGAAUUCAGUGAAUCAUCGAAUCUUUGAACGCACAUUGCGCCCCCUGGUAUUCCGGGGGGCAUGCCUGUCCGAGCGUCAUUACAACCCUCAAGCUCAGCUUGGUAUUGGGCCCCGCCGACCCGGCGGGCCCUAAAGUCAGUGGCGGUGCCGUCCGGCUCCGAGCGUAGUAAUUCUUCUCGCUCUGGAGGUCCGGUCGUGUGCUCGCCAGCAACCCCCAAUUUUUUUCAGGUUGACCUCGGAUCAGGUAGGGAUACCCGCUGAACUUAAGCAUAUCAAUAAGCGGAGGA